RNAcentral lists this ribosomal RNA (505 nucleotides) under uncultured bacterium. Its description in RNAcentral is "partial 16S ribosomal RNA". It matches the Rfam family "Bacterial small subunit ribosomal RNA", at positions 28 to 507 of the family's 1533-position model. The record is from RNAcentral.
GACGAACGCUGGCGGCGUGCCUAAUACAUGCAAGUAGAACGCACAGUUUAUACCGUAGCUUGCUACACCAUAGACUGUGAGUUGCGAACGGGUGAGUAACGCGUAGGUAACCUGCCUGGUAGCGGGGGAUAACUAUUGGAAACGAUAGCUAAUACCGCAUAAUAUUAAUUAUUGCAUGAUAAUUAAUUGGAAGGUGCAAUUGCACCACUACCAGAUGGACCUGCGUUGUAUUAGCUAGUAGGUGAGGUAACGGCUCACCUAGGCGACGAUACAUAGCCGACCUGAGAGGGUGAUCGGCCACACUGGGACUGAGACACGGCCCAGACUCCUACGGGAGGCAGCAGUAGGGAAUCUUCGGCAAUGGACGAAAGUCUGACCGAGCAACGCCGCGUGAGUGAAGAAGGUUUUCGGAUCGUAAAGCUCUGUUGUAAGAGAAGAACGGGUGUGAGAGUGGAAAGUUCACACUGUGACGGUAUCUUACCAGAAAGGGACGGCUAACUACAUG